ACGCUCGACACCUACGGGGGCAGCAGUGGGGAAUAUUGCACAAUGGGGGGAACCCUGAUGCAGCGACGCCGCGUGAGGGAAGAAGGUUUUCGGAUUGUAAACCUCUGUCCUUGGUGACGAUAAUGACGGUAGCCAAGGAGGAAGCCACGGCUAACUACGUGCCAGCAGCCGNGGUAAUCUGAGCGGGCUGGCAAGGC
RNAcentral lists this ribosomal RNA (197 nucleotides) under uncultured bacterium. RNAcentral's name for it is "partial 16S ribosomal RNA". It matches the Rfam family "Bacterial small subunit ribosomal RNA", at positions 328 to 539 of the family's 1533-position model. The record is from RNAcentral.